RNAcentral lists this ribosomal RNA (521 nucleotides) under uncultured bacterium. RNAcentral describes it as "bacterial SSU rRNA". It matches the Rfam family "Bacterial small subunit ribosomal RNA", at positions 355 to 896 of the family's 1533-position model. The record is from RNAcentral.
UGGGGAAUAUUGGACAAUGGACCAAAAGUCUGAUCCAGCAAUUCUGUGCGCACGAUGACGUUUUUCGGAAUGUAAAGUGCUUUCAGUUGGGAAGAAAAAAAUGACGGUACCAACAGAAGAAGUGACGGCUAAAUACGUGCCAGCAGCCGCGGUAAUACGUAUGUCACAAGCGUUAUCCGGAUUUAUUGGGCGUAAAGCGCGUCUAGGUGGUUAUGUAAGUCUGAUGUGAAAAUGCAGGGCUCAACUCUGUAUUGCGUUGGAAACUGCAUGACUAGAGUACUGGAGAGGUAAGCGGAACUACAAGUGUAGAGGUGAAAUUCGUAGAUAUUUGUAGGAAUGCCGAUGGGGAAGCCAGCUUACUGGACAGAUACUGACGCUAAAGCGCGGCGUGGGUAGCAAACAGGAUUAGAUACCCUGGUAGUCCACGCCGUAAACGAUGAUUACUAGGUGUUGGGGGUCGAACCUCAGCGCCCAAGCUAACGCGAUAAGUAAUCCGCCUGGGGAGUACGUACGCAAGUAUG